AGCCACAGCCAUAUCACCCUGCAAGCCAAGACUGGUUACUUACUGAAUCUAAGCAGGGCUGAGCCUGGUCAGUACGUGGAUCGAAGACCACAUGGGAAAAGUAGGUUGCUGUUGGAA
This is a ribosomal RNA of Danio rerio (zebrafish), 117 nucleotides long. Lineage: Eukaryota; Metazoa; Chordata; Actinopteri; Cypriniformes; Danionidae. The record is from Ensembl.